AACGCUAGCUACAGGCUUAACACAUGCAAGUCGAGGGGAAACGACAUCGAAAGCUUGCUUUUGAUGGGCGUCGACCGGCGCACGGGUGAGUAACGCGUAUCCAACCUGCCCACCACUUGGGGAUAACCUUGCGAAAGUAAGACUAAUACCCAAUGAUAUCUCUAGAAGACAUCUGAAAGAGAUUAAAGAUUUAUCGGUGAUGGAUGGGGAUGCGUCUGAUUAGCUUGUUGGCGGGGUAACGGCCCACCAAGGCGACGAUCAGUAGGGGUUCUGAGAGGAAGGUCCCCCACAUUGGAACUGAGACACGGUCCAAACUCCUACGGGAGGCAGCAGUGAGGAAUAUUGGUCAAUGGGCGAGAGCCUGAACCAGCCAAGUAGCGUGCAGGAUGACGGCCCUAUGGGUUGUAAACUGCUUUUAUAAGGGAAUAAAGUGGGAGUCGUGACUCCUUUUGCAUGUACCUUAUGAAUAAGGACCGGCUAAUUCCGUGCCAGCAGCCGCGGUAAUACGGAAGGUCCGGGCGUUAUCCGGAUUUAUUGGGUUUAAAGGGAGCGUAGGCCGGAGAUUAAGCGUGUUGUGAAAUGUAGAUGCUCAACAUCUGCACUGCAGCGCGAACUGGUUUCCUUGAGUACGCACAAAGUGGGCGGAAUUCGUGGUGUAGCGGUGAAAUGCUUAGAUAUCACGAAGAACUCCGAUUG
This 696-nucleotide ribosomal RNA is filed under the name uncultured bacterium. RNAcentral describes it as "bacterial SSU rRNA". It matches the Rfam family "Bacterial small subunit ribosomal RNA", at positions 32 to 715 of the family's 1533-position model. The record is from RNAcentral.